RNAcentral lists this ribosomal RNA (498 nucleotides) under uncultured bacterium. RNAcentral's name for it is "partial 16S ribosomal RNA". It matches the Rfam family "Bacterial small subunit ribosomal RNA", at positions 30 to 523 of the family's 1533-position model. The record is from RNAcentral.
AUUGAACGCUGGCGGCAUGCCUUACACAUGCAAGUCGAACGGUAGCAGGUCUUCGGAUGCUGACGAGUGGCGAACGGGUGAGUAAUACAUCGGAACGUGCCCGAUCGUGGGGGAUAACGCAGCGAAAGCUGUGCUAAUACCGCAUACGAUCUACGGAUGAAAGCGGGGGAUCUUCGGACCUCGUGCGGACGGAGCGGCCGAUGGCAGAUUAGGUAGUUGGUGGGGUAAAGGCUCACCAAGCCUGCGAUCGGUAGAGGGUCUGAGAGGACGACCAGCCACACGGGACCUGAGACACGCCCCAGACUCCUACGGGGGGCAACAGUGGGAAAUUGUGGACAAUGGGCGCAACCCUGAUCCAGCCCUGCCGCGUGCAGGAUGAAGGCCUUCGGGUUGUAAACUGUUUUUGUACGGAACGAAAAGUCUCUUUUUAAUAAAGAGGGAUCAUGACGGUACCGUAAGAAUAAGCACCGGCUAACUACGUGCCAGCAGCCGCCGUAA